GCGCGGGUAGCCCAACGGACAGAGCGGCUGCCUCCUAAGCAGCAGGCUGCGGGUUCGAGUCCCGCCCCGCGCA
Molecule: transfer RNA, 73 nt
Filed under: Caudoviricetes sp.
Lineage: Duplodnaviria; Heunggongvirae; Uroviricota; Caudoviricetes
Description: tRNA-Arg
Rfam family: tRNA
About the family: Transfer RNA (tRNA) molecules are approximately 80 nucleotides in length. Their secondary structure includes four short double-helical elements and three loops (D, anti-codon, and T loops).
Source: RNAcentral